UGAUCCUUUGCUAAGGUAUUGUGUGUGGGA
Molecule: non-coding RNA, 30 nt
Filed under: Mus musculus (house mouse)
Lineage: Eukaryota; Metazoa; Chordata; Mammalia; Rodentia; Muridae
Source: RNAcentral